Molecule: long non-coding RNA, 4326 nt
Organism: Meleagris gallopavo (turkey)
Lineage: Eukaryota; Metazoa; Chordata; Aves; Galliformes; Phasianidae
Source: Ensembl
AUGCCGUUCUGCUCCGCAGCCUGCUUCCUGCUCAGGGAGUCCAUCGGGACUGGGUGCUCCCUCCUGUCAGCCUCGCUGAUGUCCUGCUGCCCAUGGUGGCCGGAAGGGAGCCUGCGAGCUAUGGGUUGUGUGGGGCUGUGUGCUCUGGUGGUUGCCUGGGAAGAACGAGCCUCUGACUUCAGGUUAUCAUGGAUACCCAGCAAGAGACAAUCAAGUAAGAGUCUGAUUGCAGUAAAUGCGUGCGUGUGUUUCUGUAUACUUGUGGAUGUUUUGUCUGACAGCUUCGUGACCAUCUUGUUAAGGAGUGGAAAUUAUUUUGUUCUGUUGUGCAGUGCUUGUGGAGAUAGAGAUGGUGAACUGAAUGUGGCCUCCAGCAGUAUGUGGCAAUGUCUCUGGUGAGGAGUUAAAAAUGAUCCACAUUGCUGGUGGCUCAGGAAAUCCUUUAUUCUUAAAAAUUUUGUAGCUUAAAAUCCCCGUCCUAAACUCCCACUGUAUCUCCUCAGAGUAAAUGAAUGUAGAUGUUUAGUGUUCCCUUGUUUUAAUGUGGGAAUUCCAGCAUCAGGGGAGCAAGACGGCAGUGAGUUCGAGAGCCGCCUGUGCUAACUUGUUUGGUGGAGUAGGGGAUGCUGUGUCACACUGGGUUGUUCUAGUUUCUUUGAACUUCUCUCCCCUUCCUUUCAUGUCCUGCAGGGCCCCUGCCCCUUGCUCUCAUUCAGGAUAUUCUCACUCUGCAGCAGUAAAAAAUUAUUCUGUUCAGUGCAUUGCAUCUGUAAGCAUUCUCUUGUCUCCUAGCAGAAGACAGAGAAAUCCCAGUUGAUGAAUUUGUGCAAGGGAAGGAGGAGAUGCUUUGGAACAAAUGAAAUUUAAUGGAUUAUAAGAUACAACUGUCACGCAUUAAAUCUCCCUUCUUGGAAUGGAGGCGCUUUUUUUUCUUUUCAGUUUUCUAUGCCGCAAAGCAGAGCACGAACCAGUGUAACAGGAAAUUAAUAUGCACGGAAAAUCAAUAAUGCAGCACAUUCCAGUAAUGAACAAAUAAUAAAAAACUAAAAUCAAGUUCUUUAAUACUCUCAGGUACUGCUAUGUAAAGCAAGCAAUUUUCAUCAUGUCUUGAUGAGGCCUGAGCGUAUGUAGCAGUGGCUUAAAGGGAGAUAUUUUUGUAAAGGAACUGCAGCCUAGUGCAGCAUCAGCAAUUGAAGAGCUCAGCCUUUGGUGCUUGUAACGCGUGUAUGAAUUUCAGUGUAGGAGGGAGUUACUCAGAAUGCCUAUUGGGAUAUACUAAACUGUUAACCAGCACAAAUAGAUAAUAUGUGCUGGGAUGCUCUGGGAGUUGUGUUCCUACUUAUCCAGGCUAAGUAAGGAAUGCUGGCGUUGAGAGUUAGAGCCAGUCCUGGCUCCUUAAAGCAGUUCCCAUCUGCUUUCAGUUUUUCCAUUCUGGUAGCAGUGUCUGCACCGGAUUUUGUGUUUCACUGUACCCAUUUAGGAGCGGUUUGGGGUCACCUUGGAGUUUUAUUUUGGUGUCCUGCUUCAUGAGUUUCUUUAUUCUCAUCCCUUAAUAACUCUUCUGAUUAGAAAAUCCGGAGCUGCUGUUGCUGACUGCUCACUAAAGCAAAGGCAAUGGGCACGGGAGGCCUUACAGCAACCAGGGUUGAAGUGAGGGCUGUGGACUGCACAGCCCCAUGGAGCGCUGUGUGGGUGAGCACAGGGAGGGAUGUAUGUGCUGUGUGUCCAGCAUGCCUGUGUCCUUCAGAUGGCCUGUGUCUUCAGGGAAGUGUUACAGUGGACAAACAGGGUCAGUUUCACUUGUGUGUUUUCAUUUUGGCAAAUAUUUGUUAAAAAUAAAUAUCUACAUUUAUCUGUUCUAGGUGAUAUCUUGAUCUGUGGUAAACAUUUUUCCUUCCUUCGUGGCCCUGAAACGGAUUAGAUUCAGGUCUGGUUUUCGCUAAUGAGGUUCCAAGGCUUUUAGCUAAUCUGAUUGGGAGCCUCUAAGAUGAUAGCAGUAGAAGGAAGGUCUCAGGCUGGGGCUGGUGUGGGAGAGGCAGCGCUGCCUGAUGCAUUGCUUGCUUUUCUGCACUCAGAAGGGAGGAAGGAAGUGGUGUGAGAUUGUGUGCAUCCUGACCCUGUAACAAAGUCAUUAUGAGUUGUAGGAACAAUUGUGUCAGAUUUCUCCCUAUCAUCAGUUUAGGAACUGGAUUUGAGCUGGAAAGUGUAAGUCUGCAUCUUGCUCUUUGUCGAUGCACUUACUUGUAAAUACAGGUACUGUACUUUGCUAUUGCACUUAUUUAUCGUAAAUACUGUACUGUGCUUUUUACCACAGUGUUUUCCUUAGCACAGUUAGCAGAGCUGAGGUUUAUUUUCAGGGCACUUCUUUGUGUCACCACAGUAAUCCUGCUGGAAAUUCUCUAGAUAUAACUUACCCUUUCUUUCACCUUACGUAGCGUCCUCUUCUUCAUUUGUAUGUCCUUUUCCUUCCUUUCAGCUCUCUGUUCCACUAAUUGCUGGCUGCAAACCUUUCACUAUGCUGUUUUUACACCCUCUAGUGGUUAAAUCGUACCCAGAUGUUCCAGAUUAUUACAGUUUUUCUUCCCGCUAGUGGAAAUCAGUGAUUGGUUUGAGUCCUUGCUCCGGCCUUUUGGGAAUGCUUAGGUCUACAGUACGAAGUUUAUCUUGUAUCCUUUCCCAAAUAUUUAAGCGUUCUGUCAUCAUCACACAUGGGCAAGCAGCACUGAGGCAAAGCAGACGGGUUCAUGCUGAGGCUGGAUUUCUCUUAAUUCAGGUGUUGCAUGAUUGCUUUAAGACAACCCGUAGCAUGGCCGCCCUGUUUCUUGGCUGUCCUGCCAGAAUACCUUUUUUGUGAUAACAGGGCUUGAGGAGCAUGAGUGCUAAAUCUGUACCAUAAAACUUUUCAUAAAAUGAGAAGGCUUUCUGUUGCUGUAAGUGUUGCACUGCUGGGGCCGUUAAAGCUGCGUAAGGAGCUGAAAAGCUCUCUGGGACUGUCUUCCAGGGUUCAGGGUUUGUUCUGUGGAUGUCUAAUGCAUACACAGGCGUGGCAGGAUGCCCCUGCUUUUCCGAGUGCUAGGCUGAUGGCAAGAACGAAGCGUUCUGUAAAGGGAGAAUAUGGAAAGCAUUAGCAUAAUGCUGUUAACCGAGAUGAAAACCAAGUCUUUUGGUGAAGAGAGCUUAUUCUCUGGGGACUGUUCAGUUCUGUAUCCCUCUGUUGGGCCUGCCAGCAAAAUGGUGUUUCUUUUUUUGUAACAUGAGUGCCUGCCUGAAAUGCAGCGAAGCAAGACUUCUUUGCUUCAUUUCCCAAGCUGUGACAAACAGCUCUGAGAUACUAUGAGUUUGUCUCAACAUGGAAAAUGACUUGAGCAGCUGUACUGAUAUAACUUUUAUGUACAGACAAACUCAUUGACAGUACUCUGCCUCUGGAAAGCUGUUCUGUAGUAAGUAUGCCAGCUUGUUUUAUAUAUAACCAAGGCCCAUGUCUUAUUGCUUUAGUGCUUUUCAUGUGUAUUAGAUGUGGUAUCCAAAAUUUGUUUGAGUUACUACUGAAUACUGGUACUUCUGUGGCAGCAAUUGGCAGCUGUGCAGAGUAAAUAUGUUCUCCAGUAGAAAGCAAAAUGAGAGAGAACACCUUGUUCAGCUGCCAUUGAAGGGAAGAGGGGAGGAGAGAGUUUAUGCAAGCAGGAGGUAAUUGCACACGCCCAGAACUAGGUCAGGAUGUUAGAGCUGUUACACCUUUUCUGUUAUGGGAAGUGAUGCUCAGCCAUCACAACAGGUUAGGAUGUUGAUUUGAAGCCUCUUUUUAAAAGCUUGUACUUCCGUGAGUGCCAUUCUGAAAUUAAACUGGGCCGCUGGCUUGGUACUAAUGUGGUGGAAACAUCAUUACCUGUCACAAGUGACACUUCCUUCAGCAGCAUAAUUUUGGAGGCUCAUCUACCUUCUGAGUGCUUGCCAGGCCUGACCUGUUGUUCCCGUGUAUGUAGAUGAGCCUGUAACCUAGAGUAGCCUGGGUGCCCAUGGCAACUACUAGGAACAGCUUUAUCACCAUUCCUUCCACUGGAGUUCAAGCUUAAGGUGAAAUGCUGUUAAAUCCUCUCCAAUUGUCAGCCUGUUCCCCUGGGUUGCUGCUUGCUAGCUGCGUUGCUGUAGUCUGUUGAAGAAUUGCAGGCACCAGCAGGCUGCCUGGCUCCCUCUCCGUGGCCGAGAGCAGGUCUGGGUGAACAGCACAGCAGUCUGUGAGAACAGGAAGCCUUCCCUCUUCCUUUUCUUCUGUAUAUUUUCAUUGUGUGGCCCCCUAUUAGUGUGGGGAGCUCAGCAAGGAAGCCC